GAGCGAAAGGGUGGGGAGCAAACAGGCUUAGAUACCCUGGUAGUCCACCCCGUAAACGUUGGGAACUAGUUGUGGGGACCAUUCCACGGUUUCCGUGACGCAGCUAACGCAUUAAGUUCCCCGCCUGGGGAGUACGGCCGCAAGGCUAAAACUCAAAGGAAUUGACGGGGACCCGCACAAGCGGCGGAGCAUGCGGAUUAAUUCGAUGCAACGCGAAGAACCUUACCAAGGCUUGACAUACACCAGAACGGGCCAGAAAUGGUCAACUCUUUGGACACUGGUGAACAGGUGGUGCAUGGUUGUCGUCAGCUCGUGUCGUGAGAUGUUGGGUUAAGUCCCGCAACGAGCGCAACCCUCGUUCUAUGUUGCCAGCACGUAAUGGUGGGAACUCAUGGGAUACUGCCGGGGUCAACUCGGAGGAAGGUGGGGAUGACGUCAAAUCAUCAUGCCCCUUAUGUCUUGGGCUUCACGCAUGCUACAAUGGCCGGUACAAAGGGCUGCAAUACCGUGAGGUGGAGCGAAUCCCAAAAAGCCGGUCCCAGUUCGGAUUGAGGUCUGCAACUCGACCUCAUGAAGUCGGAGUCGCUAGUAAUCGCAGAUCAGCAACGCUGCGGUGAAUACGUUCCCGGGUCUUGUACACACCGCCCGUCAAGUCAUGAAA
RNAcentral lists this ribosomal RNA (661 nucleotides) under Microbacterium sp. RNAcentral describes it as "bacterial SSU rRNA". It matches the Rfam family "Bacterial small subunit ribosomal RNA", at positions 751 to 1409 of the family's 1533-position model. Lineage: Bacteria; Bacillati; Actinomycetota; Actinomycetes; Micrococcales; Microbacteriaceae. The record is from RNAcentral.